This 508-nucleotide ribosomal RNA is filed under the name uncultured delta proteobacterium. Its description in RNAcentral is "bacterial SSU rRNA". It matches the Rfam family "Bacterial small subunit ribosomal RNA", at positions 29 to 558 of the family's 1533-position model. Lineage: Bacteria; Deltaproteobacteria. The record is from RNAcentral.
ACAAACGCUGGCGGCAUGCUUCAUACACUGCAAGUCGAACGUGAAAGACUUCGGGUCGAGUAAAGUGGCGCACGGGUGAGUAACGCGUAGAUAAUCUGCCCCGCUGUCUGGGAUAACCUUUCGAAAGGGAGGCUAAUACCGGAUAACACGAUUUCUUUUAAGGGAGUCGUUGAAAGUUGCGGCGCAACGGGAUGAGUCUGCGUCCCAUUAGCUAGUUGGUGGGGUAAAGGCCUACCAAGGGCGACGAUGGGUAGCGGGUUUGAGAGGACGAUCCGCCACACUGGAACUGAGACACGGUCCAGACUCCUACGGGAGGCAGCAGUAGGGAAUUUUGCGCAAUGGGCGAAAGCCUGACGCAGCAAUGCCGCGUGAGUGAAGAAGGCCCUCGGGUCGUAAAGCUCUUUAUCUUCGGGAAGAUGAUGACGGUACCGAAGGAAGAAGCACCGGCUAACUACGUGCCAGCAGCCGCGGUAAUACGUAGGUGCAAGCGUUGUUCGGAAUCACUGGG